RNAcentral lists this ribosomal RNA (501 nucleotides) under uncultured bacterium. RNAcentral's name for it is "partial 16S ribosomal RNA". It matches the Rfam family "Bacterial small subunit ribosomal RNA", at positions 29 to 523 of the family's 1533-position model. The record is from RNAcentral.
AUUGAACGCUGGCGGCAUGCCUUACACAUGCAAGUCGAACGGCAGCACGGGUGCUUGCACCUGGUGGCGAGUGGCGAACGGGUGAGUAAUACAUCGGAACGUACCUUAUCGUGGGGGAUAACGCAGCGAAAGCUGUGCUAAUACCGCAUACGCCCUGAGGGGGAAAGCGGGGGAUCGAAAGACCUCGCGCGAUUAGAGCGGCCGAUGCCUGAUUAGCUUGUUGGUGGGGUAAAAGCCCACCAAGGCGACGAUCAGUAGCUGGUCUGAGAGGACGAUCAGCCACACUGGGACUGGGAGACGGCCCAGACUCCUACGGGAGGCAGCAGUGGGGAAUUUUGGACAAUGGGGGCAACCCUGAUCCAGCAAUGCCACGUGAGUGAAGAAGGCCUUCGGGUUGUAAAGCUCUUUUGUCAGGGAAGAAACACCGGCUCUAACACAGUCCGGGAAUGACGGUACCUGAAGAAUAAGCACCGGCUAACUACGUGCCAGCCGCCGCCGUAA